Molecule: ribosomal RNA, 243 nt
Filed under: uncultured bacterium
Lineage: Bacteria
Description: partial 16S ribosomal RNA
Rfam family: Bacterial small subunit ribosomal RNA
Source: RNAcentral
GACGAACGCUGGCGGCGUGCUUAACACAUGCAAGUCGAGCGGUAAGGCCUCUUCGGGGGUACACGAGCGGCGAACGGGUGAGUAACACGUGGGUGACCUGCCCUCAGCUCUGGGAUAAGCCUGGGAAACUGGGUCUAAUACCGGAUAUGACCUUGCCUCGCAUGGGGUGGGUGAAAGCCUGGUCUUAAUUGAUUCGGCGGCUGGGGAUGGGCCCGCGGCCUAUCAGCUUGUUGGGNGGGUGAU